Molecule: long non-coding RNA, 1261 nt
Organism: Mastomys coucha (southern multimammate mouse)
Lineage: Eukaryota; Metazoa; Chordata; Mammalia; Rodentia; Muridae
Exons: 2
Source: RefSeq, a predicted model, not a curated record
GGCUAGUCUAGCCUUCCCGCUGGGGACCUGGCCCCCUGCGGGCUCCACAACCCGCUACGGCAACCCGGACUGAGCAGGGAACACAGGGGCAGGCUAGAGCUGAGGACCUGUAGGGCCCCCGCCUGCGCUUGCGCAUUUCUUCCACCUUUUCAAGGGUAAAAGACGUUGAUGGAUCUGCCCCCAACCCUCCCCGGUAUGCACGUGCGGUUUGUCAGUCCUGCGGCCAUCACCGUUGGCACCGAGAGUCAGCUCUUGUUGCACUGUGGCAUAGGGAAGGACCCUCAGCCCCCCGCGGUCAGCAAAUGCUCCUGAGAGCCAGUCUCUUCUGAUUUCUGCCCAUGAACAGACACGCCCCUCUCGUGUGACUCCCAUUUAGAGUGAUUAGGAAGGCAGCAGCUGACUUGUUACAAACUUAACAGACAAUGGCCAGAAUGCACCAUUCACCAUGUGCAUCAGCUGCCCUCAAUCCUCGCCCACACCUUUCUUAGGGGUCCUAUGGCGAUGUCAUUUGCAUUCCCAGGGAAUAUGGAGGCUGACCGCCUUCCCAUGUGCCCCAGUGCUGCCCAUAUAUAUACCAUGCAAAAUGGUGAUAAAAAGGCAGCUUUUGUUUAAGGAUGUUAAUUGCUUCACAAUUACUGAACCAGACCAACCUUCUCUUCAUAAAAGUAGAGCAAGUGUCCCAUGAGCCCAGCUGAAGGGUUUGGAUUUAUAAGCUAGAAAGGUUUGCACACAAAGAUGCACCACCGCUCCCCCUCGCUGGAGCCAAGAGCAGGUCACGAAACAAUUGGAAAAUAACAUCAAGUCUGUGUCCCAGAAACCAAGAGGCAGAGGCAGAAGGAUCAGGGUCAGAUAAACAGUGUAGUUUAAGUUUGGUGACAGGAAGGCUGGAGAAAUGACUCAGCAGCUACAAGCACUUAUUGUGAAAACAUAAAGAUUGAAGUUCAAAUUCCAGCAUCCAUGUAGCAAGUGGAGCAUCCUGCCCACACCUGUAACCCAGGUUACAAAUUGAGUGGAACCAAUCUAGGAUGGUUGCUAGGACUUGCUGGCUCACAGCCUAGAUGAGAAAACAGCCUGAGGUUUGGGGAGAGACCCUGCCUCAAAGGAAAAGAUGGAAAGUGAUAGAAGAAAGCACCGACACCCACUUCUGGCAACCAUUUGCACACAAAGAUGCACCACCACUCCCCCUCGCAUGACUCCCCUCCCCCAUGCACAUGUAAAUAAUCAAAUCUUUUAAUAAAAGAAAACAUGAAGCUUGAUGACA